RNAcentral lists this ribosomal RNA (494 nucleotides) under uncultured bacterium. Its description in RNAcentral is "partial 16S ribosomal RNA". It matches the Rfam family "Bacterial small subunit ribosomal RNA", at positions 28 to 507 of the family's 1533-position model. The record is from RNAcentral.
GACGAACGCUGGCGGCGUGCUUAACACAUGCCAGUCGAACGGAAAGGCCUGCUUUCCCUUGUGGAUUGCGGGUACUCGAGUGGCGAACGGGUGAGUAACACGUGAGUGAUCUGCCCCCAACUUGGGUAUAAGCCUGGGAAACUGGGUCUAAUUCCCGAUAGGACUGCAGGGUGGUGCCUGUGGUGGAAAACGAUUUUCUAGUGGUUGGGGAUGAGCUCGCGGCCUAUCAGCUUGUUGGUGGGGUAAUGGCCUACCAAGGCGGCGACGGGUAGCCGGCCUGAGAGGUUGGACGGCCACAUUGGGACAGAGAUACGGCUCAGACUACUACGGCAGGCAGCAGUGGGGAAUAUAGCACAAUGAGCGGAAGCCUGAUGCAGCGACGCCGCGUGGGGGAUGACGGCCUUCGGGUUGUAAACUCCUUUCGACCGCGAGGACGCCACCUGGUUGGAAGGGUGGUGACGGUAGUGGUAGAAGAAGCGCCGGCUAACUACGUG